RNAcentral lists this transfer RNA (65 nucleotides) under Dipodomys ordii (Ord's kangaroo rat). It matches the Rfam family "tRNA". From Rfam's summary of the family: Transfer RNA (tRNA) molecules are approximately 80 nucleotides in length. Their secondary structure includes four short double-helical elements and three loops (D, anti-codon, and T loops). Lineage: Eukaryota; Metazoa; Chordata; Mammalia; Rodentia; Heteromyidae. The record is from Rfam by way of RNAcentral.
GGUGGCUCAGUGGUAGAGCUCUUACCUUGCAUGCAUGAGGCCCUGGGUUUGAUUCCCCAGCACCA